This is a long non-coding RNA of Puntigrus tetrazona (Sumatra barb), 1893 nucleotides long. RefSeq lists it as uncharacterized. Lineage: Eukaryota; Metazoa; Chordata; Actinopteri; Cypriniformes; Cyprinidae. The record is from RefSeq and is a predicted model, not a curated record. The transcript has 3 exons.
GGCGCGUAAAACCUCCCCGUCUGCGCUCCGGCGCUUUGGUGGUGUUCAGCGUGGAACGGCAACGUCAAACUGUCCUGUCCAUUUGGAAUCGAGUCUUGGUAGUAAAACCUCGUGUCUUGGAUGCCCAUUUUAAAGUCCGAUCCUCAUGGGAAUUCCGACGGAGGUGUGUUUUGCAGCACCUCAGAUGUACAGCACACCUGAAGAAAGCGCUGGCAGGGAGUCUGCAUCCUUCUGCUUAACACACGGCAGCUGUGUUGAGGGAAGAUCCCUCUCCUAUACCGUGUCAUUCCCCGGUGACCGCAGCAAUGCCCCUGGUGACCGCCUGCUGCCCUCUUCUUGUUGAAGCUGUCGAGUGCUGAGAUGUCCCAAAGUUCAAUCUUGUCAUGCUCAGGCAUCGCUUUCUGCCACCCUCUAUCCAUCAACCGAGCUGUUUGUGAACCAUUAUGAUAUGUGUGUGUCUGUGUGUGAGCACGCUUGUGUGCACUGCUCCCUUAUUCCUGAACGCAAGAUCCCAGCUGCUUCACCCACCUGAUUUUUUUACUUGCAUAUCUGUGUAAAUGAGUUGUCCAGUAAGGGUCAAUGUAAUUGAUUCGGUUCAUCCCAAUGAAUCACAAUAGCACCCUGAAAUUGACCCUUUCAACAUUUUAGGGAUGUUUAAGUAGAUUUAUGUGGAUUGUGUGUGUGUGUGUGUGCUUGUGUGUGUGUGUCUGCGUCGGACCCUGCGGGCUGGGACGUGUCACCCCUUCGUCUCGUCACUGCUAAUAUGAACUUGAGCAUCCAGGCGUGGAGCUGUGACAGAUCGGCAGACAGCCCUGCCCCCUCAGCAUCCCUUCAUCCCUGCUACCUAUCUAGCUUGCUUAAUCUUAAAUUAAUUUCAGGUCAAAAACGAACCGAUCCCUGGCACCAGGCUAUGAUACCUCACCUGCCCACUGGGGAUCACUGGAAGGAAGUGUAACGUCAGAUUAACAAGAUAGCACAUUGUUGACAAGCGUGGGGAUUAUUUACAGCUGCGAGUCGCUUUAUCACCACACGCGACUCCUUUUUUGAUCUUUUAGAGAAUAUGUGAUUAAUAAACAAACCUGUGAAUCGCACGUGUGGUGCUGUCAGCAAACGCAAAAUAUUUGUGACCUUUUAAAGUGACUCCCGAUGCGUUGGGUCAAAUGGUGUCGGAAGAUGAUGUUUUUUGACAUUUUUCCACUCUUGACCUUUCCACUAAUGUUACAGGAGAUCUGUGGAGUGUUUCUGCUCAGUAGCAGUUCACGAUCAGGUCUUGCAUGCUGAGUUCAGGGUCGCUAACCUCACUGGCAGGUACUUAACCUUUUCACACCACUGACUCAAACACCAUGAACUCUGAUUUGGAGUACAUAGAUCUUAAGUGCUAUAGCAUUUUUUUUUUUUACACUUAAAUGUAUUAAGUGAAUUAAGAAUCAAAUUAUCAUUAAUAUUUAUAAACACAAUUUUUAAUCUAAAUUGUUUUUAUUAUUAAGAUGUUAAAAAUUAUUAUUAUUUGUAAGAUUUAUUAAAGUAUUUUGACACAGGACAGUAUUUCAUACAGGAAGUGAGUUGGGAGAGAAAGAGACUAUUUAGUUUUUUUAUUUUAUUUUAAUUUAGCACAUUUUUUCUGAAAAAAGGCUGUAAAUAAUUUAGAUUACUUAAUAAGGUGGUGUGUAAUUAAAUCAUGGACACUGUUGUAUAUAUUUGUUCUUUCAUUUUAUUUAAAUUUUAUGGCCACUAUUAAACUAAACUAAUGGAACAAAUUAAAGAAUCAAAGAAUAAACUUGCUAUGGAUAUAUAUAAUAUAUCCACUAGAUACACUUUUAGGGGGGUAACAAAAAUUAAAAGCAGUGUUUUUUUUUGGUUGUGUGAUCUCAAAUACUAAAGUAGCUGUUAUAU